UAUUCCCCACUGCUGCCUCCCGUAGGAGUCUGGGCCGUAUCUCAGUCCCAAUGUGUCCGUUCACCCUCUCAGGCCGGAUACCCAUCAUCGCCUCGGUGGGCCGUUACCCCGCCGACUAGCUAAUGGGCCGCGGGCCGAUCCUCCGGCGGAGCCUUGGCUCCUUUCACCGCACGUUUCUGAUCCGUGCGCUCGUAUCUGGUAUUACCCCUUAUUUCUAAGGGCUAUCAUCAUGUCCGGAGGGUACGUCACCCACGUGUUACUCACCAGUCCGCCGCUCUCAUGCGGUGCAAGCACCGCAAUCCCGCUCGACUUGCAUGGUUAAGACGCGCCGCCAGCGUUCAUCCUGAGCCAA
Molecule: ribosomal RNA, 352 nt
Filed under: uncultured rumen bacterium
Lineage: Bacteria
Description: partial 16S ribosomal RNA
Source: RNAcentral